GGGUUGUGAGGUUAAGCGACUAAGCGUACACGGUGGAUGCCCUGGCAGUCAGAGGCGAUGAAGGACGUGCUAAUCUGCGAUAAGCGUCGGUAAGGUGAUAUGAACCGUUAUAACCGGCGAUUUCCGAAUGGGGAAACCCAGUGUGUUUCGACACACUAUCAUUAACUGAAUCCAUAGGUUAAUGAGGCGAACCGGGGGAACUGAAACAUCUAAGUACCCCGAGGAAAAGAAAUCAACCGAGAUUCCCCCAGUAGCGGCGAGCGAACGGGGAGCAGCCCAGAGCCUGAAUCAGUGUGUGUGUUAGUGGAAGCGUCUGGAAAGGCGCGCGAUACAGGGUGACAGCCCCGU
Molecule: ribosomal RNA, 348 nt
Filed under: Escherichia coli
Lineage: Bacteria; Pseudomonadati; Pseudomonadota; Gammaproteobacteria; Enterobacterales; Enterobacteriaceae
Description: partial 23S ribosomal RNA
Rfam family: Bacterial large subunit ribosomal RNA
Source: RNAcentral